RNAcentral lists this long non-coding RNA (2082 nucleotides) under Capra hircus (goat). RNAcentral describes it as "lncRNA (ENSCHIG00010000732.1)". The record is from RNAcentral. Lineage: Eukaryota; Metazoa; Chordata; Mammalia; Artiodactyla; Bovidae.
AGCUUUUUAAGUCUGUGAACUUCUUACAAGGUUCCAACACACUCACUGGGACUGGCUUGUUAAGUGAAUGAAUUAACAGCAAAAUCCAUCUCAAGUUACCCUUUGUUUUGUUUUGUUUUUUCUAUAAUAUGUACCGUGCACUGGCAAGGACAUUUAAAAGAUAGCAAUGAAAAAAUACAUAGUUAAUGGUCAUAGACUUUAUUCCAAAAUAUAAUUGAAAAGCAGAAAUUAAACCUUUGUUAAUUGGUGAACAAGAUUUUUGUAAUUUUUAUAAUUACAAAAUUUGAAUUAUAAGAAUUUUGUAAUUCUGCCAAUUAAAUGUAAUUGGCAAAAUUAAAGAUUUUCACAGCAACUACUGAACGUAACAAGAGCUUUCAGCGGUGCUGUUGGCUUUCGGUUGACAUUAAGAUACACAUGAAUAUUCCCGACAAAUGUCUUGGAAUUCAUAAAAAAUAUCCCAGUUUUAAUAUACAGAUUUUGCCACAGUAUUGUGAGUGGAAAAAUCGUCAUACUAAAUUAUUUUCUUCCUAUUUGGUGAAAGUUAACAAAGUUCAGUUUAAAAGGCUGUUAGGAAUGUUUUAUAUGCACCAUAAAUAAAACAGGUAAUUUAAUUUGAGCUCAUUUAUCAUAAUAAUGAGCUGACAAUUGUCCAUGACUUGUUUAAGUACAUGAGAUAACAUUUCAGGAAUGAAAGAGAAGGAAUACUGCUUUCUAAGAAAGAAGAGCUUAUAAGAGACAUAUUUAGUAGGUUAAACUACUUCUUUGAAAAAGUUUUGGCUCCAAAUCAGUAAUGAAGAUGAGAUUUUUCUCUUCUCUGGUUGGUCUUUAAGGAUAUUAUGCAGCUCCUUUAGCAAACAGUUGGAAUGUUUGAUACAGCCAGCUAGAUGUGGUAAUUUCACAGUAAAUUGGGAAUUGCUCUGCCUCAGAACCGUUUUUUUAAAGUAAUUACUCUUAAGAGAUACAGAAACAGUAAAUUAAAAUUAAAAUUUUUUUUUGCUAGGUCCAAAGCUCCAUCUGGUUUUCAUAAACGUAAGCAAAAGGUAUUUCUUGUAAUCUUUCAGUCAAAGGGUUGGGGAGUGCCAGGGGAGGAGGGGAAAUCUGGAUUUAUCAGUAUUUGUUUUGCUUUUUACAAAAUGUAUGUCUAAUAUAUAAGUUUUUAAAAGCCACUAGAAAUAGAAAUGUGCUGACAUCAAUCAAAAUCUAAAUUUUUCAUAUUUUGUGGUGAUUAUAGAAGAAAAAGUAGGAAUGUCAUACUAUCAAAUAUACUGUACUCAUUUAUAUUGAAUAUAUAUUAAAAUAUGCAUGAUAGAACAUUCUACUUUGGAGUAUAUAAUUUGUUAAAUUAAUAAUCACAUGGUGACUUUUAUGUAUAAUUUCAUAUAUGGUAAAAUUAAAAACUGCUUUUCACUUCAGAAUUUUUUUAUCUUAAGUUUGGAAUAGUUGAGGGGACUGAUUGAAUAGAAAAUGGGCCCAAACAUUAAACAGAUUUAUUUUCUCAUUCAGAGGCCUUGAUUGGUAUUUUGUAAACAAGUAAUAAAUUUUAUUUUUAAACUUUUCUAUUGGUUUUUGGGAAAGUAUCCUUUAAUUUGAUGGCACAUUCAUAGAGUUUUUAUCCCAAGUCAGAAUUAAAAUUAGCUACACAAUUGAAAUUAAGUCUGAGGCAAUUUGUUGGGGCAGCUCUAUUAUAAAAAUUACUUGACAAAUAAUUAUUUUUAUAAACAAAUAGGUUGAAUUAAUUUAUUCUUGGUCUUCUUACUUGGAUAUUAUUUUAAGAACUUGGUGUUUAAAAACAUGUACUUUAUUAUAUAGCAACAGUGUUCUAUCCCAUACUUUUUUUUUUAAAGUAAAACCCUUAAAUUUAUGUCUGAGACUAUGUACUGCUAGGAACAUAUUUUAUCAAUAAAGAUGAGUAAUUAAAAUUGGUAUGGUCUCCAAGUUAAUUUGGAAACAAUACUUACAUUUAUUCUUACUUGUAGGUAUUUUUUUUAAGGCUGUUUGUUUAUCCUUCAGUUCAGUUCAGUCGCUCAGUCGAGUCCAGUUCUUUGCGACCCCAUGAAUCGCAGCACGCCAGGCCUCCCUGUC